RNAcentral lists this ribosomal RNA (468 nucleotides) under uncultured bacterium. RNAcentral describes it as "partial 16S ribosomal RNA". It matches the Rfam family "Bacterial small subunit ribosomal RNA", at positions 28 to 507 of the family's 1533-position model. The record is from RNAcentral.
GACGAACGCUGGCGGCGUGCUUAACACAUGCAAGUCGAACGGAAAGGCCCUGCUUUUGUGGGGUGCUCGAGUGGCGAACGGGUGAGUAACACGUGAGUAACCUGCCCUUGACUUUGGGAUAACUUCAGGAAACUGGGGCUAAUACCGGAUAGGAGCUCCUGCUGCAUGGUGGGGGUUGGAAAGUUUCGGCGGUUGGGGAUGGACUCGCGGCUUAUCAGCUUGUUGGUGGGGUAGUGGCUUACCAAGGCUUUGACGGGUAGCCGGCCUGAGAGGGUGACCGGCCACAUGGGGACUGAGAUACGGCCCAGACUCCUACGGGAGGCAGCAGUGGGGAAUCUUGCACAAUGGGCGGAAGCCUGAUGCAGCAACGCCGCGUGCGGGAUGCCGGCCUUCGGGUUGUAAACCGCUUUCGCCUGUGACGAAGCGUGAGUGACGGUAAUGGGUAAAGAAGCACCGGCUAACUACGUG